GACGGAGGGUGCGAGCGUUGUUCGGAAUUACUGGGCGUAAAGCGUACGUAGGCGGUUGGUUAAGUCGAAUGUUAAAGCUCGGAGCUCAACUCCGUAGAUGCAUUCGAUACUGGUCAACUAGAGGGUGGCAGAGGAAAGCGGAAUUCCAAGUGUAGCGGUGAAAUGCGUAGAUAUUUGGAGGAACAUCGGUAGCGAAAGCG
RNAcentral lists this ribosomal RNA (200 nucleotides) under uncultured bacterium. Its description in RNAcentral is "partial 16S ribosomal RNA". It matches the Rfam family "Bacterial small subunit ribosomal RNA", at positions 524 to 723 of the family's 1533-position model. The record is from RNAcentral.